RNAcentral lists this long non-coding RNA (1736 nucleotides) under Zea mays. Its description in RNAcentral is "long non-coding RNA (ZMAY_LNC005410)". Lineage: Eukaryota; Viridiplantae; Streptophyta; Magnoliopsida; Poales; Poaceae. The record is from RNAcentral.
CGCACUUCGGAAGUUCUGCGCGGACGCCGAGAAAAUCGGCGGUGAUCCCCCCACCAAUCGCAGACCCGUAGCGGAUAAAAGUUGGUCGUGUGCCCUACUGCUCGAGUGCCUUAGGGUUCGCCGCCACCAAGUAGAGCGUUGCGCACCGUUUUGAUCGCCGCCGCGGACAUACGGAGAUUUUAGGGGCUGCCAUCACCACACGCCAAUUCUCUGUCAUCGUGCUUACCCGCGGGGGUGCUCGGGGUUGACAGACGGGGCGAAGGGAGCUCGUGUGAAGGACGUCCGGGCCGGAGCCAUCGCGGACACGCCAGUGAGCACCAAGGUGAGCUUUCCGCAGUGGAGUUACCGCGCACUGCGAUAACAUCGCCUCCAGCUCUUCGUCAGGUUAGAAACCCCGAAUUGUGUAUGAUUCAUUCCCAAUUGCGCGCUAGCUCGACGAAUUAGAAUAUGAGGGCGGGAUUUGGCCGAUUUUUGCAGCCGGCCAUGUCCUCGCCGCCGCGGGCGGGGCCUCACCGUGGAUGGGGUCCUGGGCACGUCUUCGGUAUGGGAAGACAAUCCCUGGGCCAUUGAUUUAGUGAUUAACGGCCACGAAUAGAAGAGAGAGUAGGAGGUUUGGAGCCCUUGGAUUAGGCGUGUACGGCUUAGAUUAAAUCUGGGUAGCGUUUCGCCCGCGACCAUUAGAUGUCGAUCGGAUGGUUCGGGUGGGAUCUCUGGUAUUUAAAAUAUGGAUCGUUGGAUGGCGAUCCGAUGGCCAGGAUAGGAUACCGGUUCGACGUGUUUGUGGAUUUAAUCGGCGCCCUCGAUUUUGGAUCCAACGAUCAGAAAACACCUAUACCCCUUCGGCCGCGGCAAUUUUGCUAAAGAACCCCUGCCCUUAUACGAAAUCAACACGCCGUCCUGCGGCAUAGUUCUGUGUCUUGGGAAAAUUUACACCGAGGCCCCUGCGCUUUCCAGAAUUCAUGCGCGCAGUACAAGAACGAGUGAAAUGGGAGAAUUAAUUAUAGAAACUAAUUUUUAAUAAAAAAAUAAUUCUAGGACUUGUUUAAUUCAUAGAAAAUGCAUACUUAGUCCAAAUUAAUCCAUUCCAGUUCCUAUAAUUUUGUAAUAAUGUUGUUUAUCACAUAGUGUCUCUGUUUUGACAUAAAAACCAAAUUGAAAUUUAUCUCUUAAUUAAUCUCGUAUCAAAUACAUAGAACAUUCAGAAAUUCAUAACUCUUCUGUUUUAAUUCCGAAUUGAUUCGUUCAAGUUGCGUUAGCCUUGUAUAAAUAUUUACUAUGCAGUAGUAACAUUUAUUUUAUGAUAUCCCAUACUUUUAUAAUUAGGUAACUAAUUUGAUUAACCUAUAUUUUCGGGAUUAGCUUAUUCUAAUAAUAAUAUAGAAUCAUGAUCUUAGGGUUUAUCUUUGGCCUAAAAGAUGAUUUAUAAUCAAGUAAUGACUUAGAUUAAAGUUGAGUUAACUAAUUCUCUCAUACGAUGUAUACUAAUCAAUUUAUAAUAUAGUUUGAUAUUUUAAUCUCAUAGAUCUUCUAUCAUAACUCUUUAAUCGUAGCUCCGAUCUUAGUGAUUCUCGUUCCCACGAUCUCGUAGCAACGUGUAGGUCAUUAUUAUGCAGCUGGCUCUUAUGUUUGGUGUGAUUUUAAUUUUGUCUAUACCAUGUUUGUUUGUAUUGCUAUGACUAGCAGUGAGGUCAUGAGAAUCUGGGGAUCAUCCUGGUACCUGGAAUCUCAAGUCCCAG